Molecule: small nuclear RNA, 148 nt
Organism: Malaya genurostris
Lineage: Eukaryota; Metazoa; Arthropoda; Insecta; Diptera; Culicidae
Product: U4 spliceosomal RNA
Exons: 1
Source: RefSeq, a predicted model, not a curated record
AGCUUUGCGCAGUGGCGAUAUCGUAACCAAUGAGGUACAGCCGAGGUGCGAUUAUUGCUAGUUGAAAACUGCUGGGUGAUGACGAUCUUAUAUGAAGGAAACGACAAAUCUUACUUAACUAUUUGAUGGAAAGAACGACGAGAAAUUU